This 555-nucleotide ribosomal RNA is filed under the name uncultured Alphaproteobacteria bacterium. RNAcentral's name for it is "partial 16S ribosomal RNA". The record is from RNAcentral. Lineage: Bacteria; Pseudomonadati; Pseudomonadota; Alphaproteobacteria.
GUUGGGAGCUCUCCCAUAUGGUCGACCUGCAGGCGGCCGCGAAUUCACUAGUGAUUCGUAUUACCGCGGCUGCUGGCACGGAGUUAGCCGGAGCUUAUUCUCCCGGUACUGUCAUUAUCAUCCCGGGUAAAAGAGCUUUACAACCCUAAGGCCUUCAUCACUCACGCGGCAUUGCUGGAUCAGGCUUUCGCCCAUUGUCCAAUAUUCCCCACUGCUGCCUCCCGUAGGAGUCUGGGCCGUGUCUCAGUCCCAGUGUGGCUGAUCAUCCUCUCAGACCAGCUAAGGAUCGUCGCCUUGGUGCGCCUUUACCACACCAACUAGCUAAUCCUACGCGGGCUCAUCCUCAGGCGAUAAAUCUUUGAUCUCGCGAUAUCAUCCGGUAUUAGCAGCAAUUUCUCGCUGUUAUUCCGAACCUGAGGGCAGAUUCCCACGCGUUACGCACCCGUGCGCCACUAAGGCCGAAGCCUUCGUUCGACUUGCAUGUGUUAGGCAUGCCGCCAGCGUUCAUUCUGAGCCAUGAUCAACUCUAAUCGAAUUCCCGCGGCCGCCAUGGCG